CUAGAUCACACUAACUUCCUCUUUGAUCUGUAAGCACUUCAAUGAUUGACUUACAGGUAUAGUCUGAUUUGAAGACAAUAUUUCUCAAAUGACAUAAGCGUAAAUUAAUUUACAAAUAUAGAUUUCUACAAAAUUUGGGACAAAUUUAAUCCUAGAUUUCCUUGCAAAUAUAGGUUUUCACCCCAAAAUAAUAAAGGAUAUAGCAAAAAGUUAAAAAAUAAAAUAACCCUAGUUAAAAGACAAAAAUGCCCCUACAAGUCCAAAAUAAUUAAUUCAACGUUUUAUCUUCCCCAUUUCACAACACUUCAACGUUUUUUCUUCUCGUUUCUUCCUAUUUCUUUUGGUGUUCGAUUGGAUGCAUAAUUUGUUCACACGAGAUUUUCGGAGAAAUUUAAUUCGUAGAUUUGAACUUGGAGUUGAUGUUGUAUCUUUGUUGAUUUCGUUGUGAUGCGGUUCAAUCUCUAGAAUUUGACCCUCUGAUUCUCUCUCGACUGGAUGUUUGUGCUUGAUUUGGAGAAAACUGAACACGUGAUGUUCUUGAAGUUGGAGCCUUGGAAGAAAGCUGGUAUCUUCAAAGAAGUUUCAAUCUUCGAGGAUGGUUGACUCUCUCUCAAUCUUCUAGAGUCAAAAUUUUCCAACCCUACAAAUGAGAAGAAUUUCUCUAUUUAUAGAGUUCACUGGUAGGCUUUAUGUGCUUAAACCUGGUUGAUCCAUGGGGCUCAACCAUAUGUAUUUAGGUUAUAUUUAGUCUUUGGGCUUGGCUUAAUUGAAUUUAAUCCAAGUAAAUAAUAUUUAAUUGAACCAAAAUGAUUAAUUUAAUCCAACAAUUAAAAUGAAAACAUGUGGCAUUAUUAGAACGGUCAAAUUUAUGUUUUUUAAUUUGGGGCACAUGUCAAUUUUAAUUAGUCUCAAAUUUAAUUAUUUGUACUUUUUAUCCUUAACUUAAUAAAUGUUGUAGUAAUUUGUGAUUGGUCUCAAAAUUUCUUAUUCAACCGAUGCAUCUACAUCAUUUUGGAUUUCUCAAUUUUAUCGUUUACUGUCUCUUUGCUUUUCGUCUAAGAAGCACGAACACAAAUACAGAUAUGGAUACGAGACACGAAUACGACACGACAACACACCAUAGUAAAUGAUUUGAUGCAUUUAUAUGCUUAAAAGACUUAAAACUAAAAACUAAAGUCUAUCGAUGAUAGAAAUAACUUUGAUCUAUUGUCGCGAAAAGAAAAGGAACAGUAAACGAUGAAAUUGAGAAAUAAAAAAUGAUGUAGAUGCAUCCAAUCAAACACCAAAAGACCAAACGAAAUGGGAGGAAACGAGAAGACAAAGCGUUGAAAUGGGAAAGAUAUGAAGCGUUGAACGAAUUAUCUUGGGCUUGUAAGGACAUUUUUGUCUUUUAAUUAGGGUUGUAGUCAAAUUUUGCAUAUCUGCAUUUUUUUUUCUUUUUGCUAUAUAUCUUUAAUUAUUUUGGGCUGAAAACUUAUAUUUUCAAGCAUCCCUAAAAAAAAAAGGUGAAUUUAACGCAUUAUCGUAACUUGAUCUAUUUAAUAAGGCUAUUAGGAGAGAAAGCCCUUAUAAAAAAAAUAUAAGCCAGAAUCUAUACUAAGCAGAUUUGGGGCACGCGGGAAACAAAAGGGGCCUUUUACGUUGUGGCGGUAAGUCAAGACAUGAAAGCUGCCAAACAAGGAAAAGGAAAUUUCUUAUAAAAAAGAGGGGACAGGUGAAGCCGGUGAGAAUUUACUUUUAAUAUCUCAGGUGGAGCAAUCUUUUGGAACUAAUCCCAGAAAGGAUAUCUCAUUAGUUAAUUUCCUCACCUGAAACUUAAACCAUGGCGGACGCAAUUCCCUUCCAAGUUGCUGGGGAGAUGGGAGAUCUUGAUGAAGCUAAGCUCUCAAGCUUUCCAGCGGCUUGGGAUGCUACUUGGGCUGAAGGCUGAUCUUUACAAACUCACAAGCACUGUUUCAACCAUUAAGGAUGUGGUUCUUGAUGCAGAGGGGCGUCAAGUAAAAGUCACUUGCUGGAGAAUUGGCUUCAAAAACUGGAAGAAGCUCUUUAUGCUGUGGAUGUGCUUGAUGAACUCUCCAGGGAGGCUCUUCAUCGAGAAGUGAUGACUAGAGAUAAAAAUGCAAAACAAGUAAGGAUCUUCUUCUCCAAAUCUAAUCAAAUCGCAUUUAACUACAGGAUGGCUCGUCAAAUAAAGAAAGUUUGGGAGAGACUAGAUGCUAUUGAUGCUGAAAAAAAACAAUUUCAUUUGCAUGAAAACUGUGAAUAAAAAAAAAUUCCCUAUAGUUCGUUUGAUCAAAUAAUGGCUGGAAGAGAAUCUUGGUGUUUUUCAAACGAAGAGGAGGUGAUCGGGAGGAAUGAUGAUAAGAAAAAGGUAAAGCACCUUUUAUUGGAUGAUGUAUGGAAUGAAAGUGAAGAGAAAUGGCAUGGGUUGAAACCUUUGUUAAUGAGUGGUGCGAAAGGGAGUAAGAUUUUCAUCACAAUGCGUGAUAGUAAAAUAGCUGCAGAAAUUGAAAGCAUGACUUCUUUAUUCACUUUAGAAGGCUUACCGAAGAGUAAAUCUUGGUCAUUAUUUAGUAAAGUGGCAUCCAAAGAAGGCAAGGUGCUUGAAAAUUCAAACUUGUUACAGUUAGGAAAAGAAAUUUCAGUGAAAUGUGGAGGUGUUCCCUUGUAACAAGAUACGUUGGCCGCUUGCUAUACUCUAAAACUUCAGAAGAAGAGUGGAUAUUUUUCAAGGAUAACGAACUUUUAGAAAUCAUUAAGCAAGACAAUUAUAUGACAUAAGUAUUAAAACUGAGCUAUAACCUAAGAAGCAGUGACACGCCAGUUGGAAUGUCAUUAUUAUUAUUCUUUUAUUUUAAUUUCGCACACAGCCCCGACAUGGCUGGAAAAAAAAAACACAAAGGUUAGAAAUGCCCAUUAGCUCGGGCCAGCAAUUAUUAGGUUCUUUUUUCUUUAAUUUUAUCUUUUCAAAUCAUUUUUCACACAUUUCUCCCAUCUGCGGAUUUUUCACAAAUUCUCGCUGCCAACCCUCUCUGCCCUAACUUGUUGGGUCUUAUGGCUCUAAACUUAUAUUUUGAUGUUUUAAUUGGAAUAUUUUACUAUGUUUAGAGCAUGACAUAUAUUUAAUUUUUUUUACUAAAAAUUUGACGUGGUUGUGUCCUACUUUUUUUUUAAAAUGAUGUGUCACAUAUCACAUGUGGUGCGUCUGUAUCUGUGCUUCCUAGACUAUAACCAUCUCACACCAAGUUUGAAACAAUGUUUUGCCUAUUUAUCCUUGUUACCCAAAAGGUAGAGCUUAAAUAUAAGAGAUUUGAUUAGACAAUGGAUGGCUCUAGGUUUAAUAGAAUCAUCAAAUGGAAGUAAAUCCAUGGAAGAUACAGGAAAGGACUAUUUCAAGGAGUUAUGUUGGAGGUUUUUUGGAAAAUUCCAUCAAUGAGUGUAACUUCGACAAUAAUGUCCACAUGAAUGAUGUGAUACGUGAUCUUGCAACAAAUGUAGCAGGAAAAAAUAUGUAGGUGAAAAUCUCAAUUCUAAUUAUGCUUUCGGUGAAAAGACUCGUCAUGUUUCAUAUGUUCUAUUCAAACUAUGGUCAGAUGUUCUAUUCAACUUACGCAAGGCAAAGGAUUAAGAACGUUCCAGCUAUUGUCAUCCAAUUCUAAAUACGAAAAGAAGAAUGAGAUCAAUGAAGCUAUUUUGGAUGAAGUACUUUCCAGUUUUCCACGUUUGCAAGUAUUGGGUCUUAAUAACUCAAAUAGUCGCUAAGUGCCAAACUUUAUAAGAAGGUUUAGACAUCUUCGAUAUCCAAACCUCCCUGAAAAUAUUAUGAAAUCACUUCCAAAUUCAAUCACUGAAUUGCAAAACUUGCAAAUGCUAAAUCUAAUGUACUGUAGCGAACUAAUGGAAUUGUCAAGGGACACCAGAAAUCUUAUUAAUCUUAGGCAUCUUGAUUUCAAUAGUUCUACCUUAACCCAUAUGCCCGAAGAGAUGGGGAAGUUGAAUUGUCCACAGACACUAAGUUAUUUUGUCUUGGACUACGAAAGGUCUAAUCAGCUGAGUGAACCGACUGUGUUGAUCCAUUUAAAAGGAGAUUUAAGAAUAAAAAAUUUAGAGCAACUGAGUUACAAUCCAUCUGAACUCAGUUUAGUAAACCUGAAAGACAUAAAAGGCUUCAAGAAUCUGGAACUAGAAUGGAACCUAAGCCCAGAUGAUCAAGAAUAUGAAGGUGAGGAUGAUGAAACUUCAGCAAUGGAAGGCCUAGAACGACAUUCAAAUGUUGAAUCCUUGCACAUUGACGGGUACAGCGGAGUAGGAUUACCCAAUUGGGUGUCCACCUUGCUCUUGAAGUUAACUAGAAUUACAAUUUAUAAAUGCCAUAGAUUGCAACAUCUAACACAGAUAGCCCAUCUUCAGGCACUCACAUUUCUAUUUUUGGAUGACAUGAGCUCUCUUGAGUUCAUAGACAAGAAUGAACCAUCUUCCUCGUCCUCUUUCCCAUCUCUCGAGCUUCUAAUUAUCGAAAACAUGCCGAAUUUGGAAGGAUGGUGGGAAUUAGGGAACACUCAAAAAAAUUGGUUACCACCAACUUUCUCUACGCUGAUUUCCCUGCAUAUCUCUAGGUGUCCUAAGUUUAGAUUCAUGCCCAAGCCAGCUUCAACAGGAACAGUUGUGUUCUUACGUGAUGUGAGCGUUCAAUUGGAGACUACAUUAGAUCCAUUGUGGGGUUUGGAAUGUCUAACACUGGAAAAAAUUAAGGAUCUCAAAUAUCUAGAAACCAUGGAAUCUCAGCUAAACAUCAGUUCUUUGCCAAUACAACUUCGAGAUUUAGAAAUAAAUAAAUGCUCGAAUUUGAUGAGUUUACCUGAAUGGAUUAGCAGCAUUACUUCGCUAGAGGAGCUGGAGAUUAUGAAAUGCCCGAAACUAAAAGUAGCUUUUGCAUCGGCGGUUGCCCCGAAGUAGGAGAAAGAUGCAAAGAGGGAGGAGAGGAUUGGGCUAAGAUUGCUCACAUUCCCCAUUUUGAGCACUUUCUUGUCGACGACUAAGGAGAAGAACUUUUCAUGCACUUUUGUUCUCUUCCUCUUAAUCCUUUUUCUUUUACGAAUCUAAUUUUGUCAUUCGUUGAGAAAAUAUUUUUUUUUAGUUUAUUUUUUACAUGGAUUGCAAUUUUUUUAUUCACUUUCUUUUGAUUCUACUCUAUUUUCAUCUUAUUUAAUUAGAGAUUGCAGUUUGGAAAAAAAAAAUGAAAAGAAG
RNAcentral lists this long non-coding RNA (5247 nucleotides) under Cucumis sativus (cucumber). RNAcentral's name for it is "long non-coding RNA (CSAT_LNC002898)". Lineage: Eukaryota; Viridiplantae; Streptophyta; Magnoliopsida; Cucurbitales; Cucurbitaceae. The record is from RNAcentral.